UUGGCUGCUAUGUGCUUUGAAUGCAGAGCUCAAAAAGACAACGUGCUCCAACCCAAAGAAGGUGUGACUGUUAGUGAGGGAGAGACAGCAACACUGGACUGUCACUAUAACACCAGUGGCACAAAUACAUGUCUUUUCUGGUACAGACAGGCUGCAGACGACAAGCCCACAUUCAUUCUGAGCCGCAUUACUGCUGAAUUAGGGAACACAGCGGACGGGUUCAAGGAGAGAUUUGAUUCCAGCCUGGAUUCCAGCUCAAGAUCAGUUCCUCUGAAGAUCCAGAGUCUGCAGCUGUCUGACUCUGCUGUGUACUACUGUGCUCUGAGGCCCACAGUGACAGGAAACUGCAGAACCUACUACACAAACCUUUGGAGGGUCUAUCAAGAAUCCAGGGACAACGCAACGAUAAACCAGAUCCACUAG
Molecule: non-coding RNA, 423 nt
Organism: Lampris incognitus (smalleye Pacific opah)
Lineage: Eukaryota; Metazoa; Chordata; Actinopteri; Lampriformes; Lampridae
Source: the annotation of a RefSeq genome assembly